UACGGGGGGGGCAAGCGUUGUUCGGAAUUACUGGGCGUAAAGGGCUCGUAGGCGGCCAACUAAGUCCGACGUGAAAUCCCCAGGCUUAACCUGGGAACUGCGUCGGAUACUGGAUGGCUUGAAUUCGGGAGAGGGAUGCAGGAUUCCAGGUGUAGCGGUGAAAUGCGUAGAUAUCUGGAGGAAUACCGGUGGCGAAGGCGGCAUCCUGGACCGACAUUGACGCUGAUGAGCGAAAGCGUGGGGAGCGAACAGG
This 253-nucleotide ribosomal RNA is filed under the name uncultured bacterium. Its description in RNAcentral is "partial 16S ribosomal RNA". It matches the Rfam family "Bacterial small subunit ribosomal RNA", at positions 524 to 776 of the family's 1533-position model. The record is from RNAcentral.